UGAAUACGAGACGCUAAGGCGUCGAAGUAGUGUAUGUCAUACUUCCAAGAAAAGCUUGCACUGUCAUAGAUAAAAAACGCCUGUACCAUAACCGACACAGGUGGGUAGGUAGAGUAUACUAAGGGGCGCGAGAUAACUCUCUCUAAGGAACUCGGCAAAAUAACUCCGUAACUUCGGGAGAAGGAGUGCCUUAUUCGUAAGGUUGCAAUAACAAGAUCCAAGCAACUGUUUAUCAAAAACACAGGUCUCCGCUAAGUCGUAAGACGAUGUAUGGGGGCUGACGCCUGCCCAGUGCCAGAAGGUUAAAGAAGUUGGUUAGCAAUUGCGAAGCUGAUAACUGAAGCCCUGGUGAACGGCGGCCGUAACUAUAACGGUCCUAAGGUAGCGAAAUUCCUUGUCGGGUAAGUUCCGACCCGCACGAAAGGCGUAAUGAUUUGGAUACUGUCUCGGAGAGGGGCUCGGUGAAAUAGACUUGUCUGUGAAGAUGCGGACUACCUGCACCAGGACAGAAAGACCCUAUGAAGCUUUACUGUAACUUGAAAUUGAAAUUGGACUUUAUUCGCGCAGUAUAGGUGGGAGGCGUUGAUUAUAAUCUUGUGGGAUUAUUGGAGCCAUCAGUGAGAUACCACUCUUGUAAUGUUAGAUUUCUAACUUUGAAUCAUUAUCUGGUCAAAGAACAGUUUCAGGCGGGCAGUUUGACUGGGGCGGUCGCCUCCUAAACGGUAACGGAGGCGUACAAAGGUUUCCUCUGAACGGUUAGAAAUCGUAUCUAGAGUGUAAAGGCAUAAGGAAGCUUGACUGUGAGACCUACAAGUCGAGCAGGGACGAAAGUCGGUCUUAGUGAUCUGACGGUACUGAGUGGAAAGGCCGUCACUCAACGGAUAAAAGUUACUCUAAGGAUAACAGGCUGAUCUCCCCCAAGAGUUCACAUCGACGGGGAGGUUUGGCACCUCGAUGUCGGCUCAUCGCAUCCUGGGGCGGUAGUACGUCCCAAGGGUUGGGCUGUUCGCCCAUGAAAGCGGUACGCGAGCUGGGUUCAGAACGUCGUGAGACAGUUCGGUCCAUAUCCGGUGUAGGCGUUAGAAUAUUGAGAGGAGCCUUCUUUAGUACGAGAGGACCGAGAAGGACAUACCUCUGGUGUACCAGUUAUCGUGCCAACGGUAAACGCUGGGUAGCUAUGUAUGGAGUGGAUAACCGCUGAAAGCAUCUAAGUGGGAAGCCCCCCUCAAGAUAAGUAUUCUCAUC
RNAcentral lists this ribosomal RNA (1245 nucleotides) under metagenome. RNAcentral's name for it is "bacterial LSU rRNA". It matches the Rfam family "Bacterial large subunit ribosomal RNA", at positions 1564 to 2818 of the family's 2925-position model. The record is from RNAcentral.